RNAcentral lists this ribosomal RNA (217 nucleotides) under uncultured bacterium. Its description in RNAcentral is "partial 16S ribosomal RNA". It matches the Rfam family "Bacterial small subunit ribosomal RNA", at positions 582 to 793 of the family's 1533-position model. The record is from RNAcentral.
GUUAAGUCAAAUGUGAAAGACCCGGGGCUCAACCUCGGAAUUGCAUUUGAAACUGGCAAACUAGAGUACUGUAGAGGGGGUAGGAAUUUCAGGUGUAGCGGUGAAAUGCGUAGAGAUCUGAAGGAAUACCGGUGGCGAAGGCGGCCCCCUGGACCAGAUACUGACACUCAGAUGCGAAAGACGUGGGGAGACAAACAGGAUUAGAUACCCUCGGUAG